UCACAUCUAGAAAUACAAAUCUCUCUGGCAGACACAAAACGGUACAGGGCUGCAAGAGUUGAGCCCAAUAAACGCGAAUGGGUGAAUGCCAAUCCAGAUUAAGACUACACAUCGUAAAUAAAUGAGCAUCAGAAAUAACAGCGCUUCGUGUGAGCAGUAUCCUGAUAUGCAGUGCCAGGUGUCCUCCACUAUGCCUUCAACAUCAUUCUCACAAGAUGGCGUCGGCCAGAGAGUACUUAGGGCAUCCUUCAGAGGCAGACCUCUUGUUGGUGAUAAACUUGAACUACCAAAACAGUACUCAGGUAUUGUUAUGCAAGAACAGAAGCAGCCCUUAACAGAAAGUACAGAAAGGACAGCGCAUGUGACACAUGCCUUCAAAUCUAUUGUGUACUGGAACUGGGCAAAGCAGCCUUCUAAAAAUGAUGCUUUUAUUAGUAUGCUGGAUUGGAUUGAUAUUGCUGAGGUGGGUGAUCUUGCUAUUGGCUGACUACAUCACGUGUCCUAUGCUGUCAUCAGCUGGCGAGAUCACAUGACAUGAGCUACAUACAUCGGACUGAGGAUGUGCUUCUUGUAUCAGGAAUGGAAAUAGUUUGUAUACACAAAAUGUUUGAAAGUAAAUUAUAAUCAUAUUUGUUUAUUCCUCGGUAUUCACAAUGAAUCUCACAGUCCCGGACAAUGUAGGUAGUCUUGUUUGUUAAUGUUAUAUAGCAUAUUUCCCUCCUCCUCCUCCUUCGUGUGAUAGUGAAACUUCAGUUCUUGAUUGUUUUAUUGGGCAAAGAUAGUAGUGCUAAACAUCAAUGAAAGAGUUGUAAUAAGAUCACUAAAACAAUGUUUUAUUUGUAAGAUGGUAAACAACUGUAAUUGUGACUGUUUUCAAUAAGUUGCUACAUGUUUAAUGUAGAUUUAAUGCUUCAAUCAUGAUGCAUCUGUUCAGUUUUCCAUUAAUGUUUUGUAUAUUUAUGCAUGAUAAUUAAAAAAGUUGACAUCACUUAAA
RNA transcript from Schistocerca gregaria, 994 nucleotides. RefSeq lists it as uncharacterized. The transcript is spliced from 5 exons. The record is from RefSeq and is a predicted model, not a curated record. NCBI's taxonomy places the organism in Eukaryota, Metazoa, Arthropoda, Insecta, Orthoptera, Acrididae.